Homo sapiens (human) is the source of this 4296-nucleotide long non-coding RNA. Ensembl annotates it as mir-99a-let-7c cluster host gene. Its record names the gene MIR99AHG. The record is from Ensembl. Lineage: Eukaryota; Metazoa; Chordata; Mammalia; Primates; Hominidae.
AGGCAGCUUCUGCUAGUGUUUAGGUACUAGUGCAGUGUAGAACCCUUUUCUCAGGCAAAACCUAACAUCUGACCGCACCCUUUUUGCUAUUAAAAAAAAAAAAAAGCUUCUAUUUUUUUCCUCCUGUCGUUAAGAUAAAUUCUCCAGUAGACAACCUCUCCCACUAAUUGUGUAUUAGCAACGUAUUUUAUCUUGAGAGCUUGUACACUGGGCUCUCAACGUGGUGUGGAAGGUAGCCUGUUACAGUGCUGGAUUCAUAAAAGGGCCUUUAUGGUUUGUGAAAGAAUAUCUGUGUGCUUAGGGAGGAAACUUUUUGAUCUGCAGAAAAGCCAGAAGACAUCUAGGACAUCCAUAAAAAUUCAUCAGAGAGCAUUUUACUACUGAGCUGCAAAGGGAAAAACUUAAAAUGGAUAUGAAAAGUGAAGAAAGUGAUCAUAGGAGAAAACCAUUUCAGGUGUCUGAUGAUUUGUGAGCCUCAAGUGACUACUCUGUGGAAUCAUCUGUCCUUGCCUUUGAAUUAGCUUUCCCUAGGCCAUGAGUCAACAUUAGUAGUUUAUACAUCCAAAUUGAUGACAAGAGCACCUCAAAGGCAGCAGCCUCAAGGAGCAGCCAUGGCCCCAGACUUGUCGCACGGAUGCAGAAAACUUAAUGGAGGAGGCUGAGGUCAGAAUGGGAAGAGUUUUUAAAAAAUAAAAAGGGGAGCUAAUAUGUGAGGAACUGAUUGCUGUGCAUUAUUUUCCACUGAACAGACCUUCUUUUAACUUCUAAUCUCAAGCACAUAGCAGCUGUUGUUUUCAUAUUAAAGAUCAGUAAGUGUUUGUUGAAUGAAUGUAUAAAUUCUUCCCCAAUCUCUGUUCCAUGUAAUAAGAACUAAGUUAGCAUUCAAUUAUAAAGAGGACUUAGAAAGUCUGCAGACAUUUUUGAUCAAAAAUCCUUUUAACUGUCUUCUUAUGGUUCCCGGUAACACCUAAGCCCAAAAAACUCAGGUCAUUUCUUGCCUGUACUGUUGCAAUAGCCUCAUAAUAACUAGUCUUCUCCUUUAUCAACCACAGUCGUCUCCGCUACACAAAGAAGAGAGGGUGCUAAUCUAAAGUGUAAAUUAUUUUAAAUCAGCACCCUUCUUGUAAUUUCCCAGUGGUUUUUCCUGUCAUAAGAAUAACAUGCAAAAUUCCUUGCUUGCAAAGCCAGGUAUGACCUUGCCCCGUCUACCUUACUGGCAUCGUCUCUCAUGACUCUUCCCCUUUUUCACUCUCCAUCUUGCCUUUUCCCAACCAUGCCUGCUAGUGAGCCUUAGCCCUUGUGUUUUCUCUGCCAGGGAUGCAUGACUGGCUUCUUUACUUUAUUCUGAUCUCUCUGCUCAAAUGUCAUCUUUUUAGAGAUAGCUUUCCUAAACAUCUUUAAAAGUACCCCAUGAACUGUGAAACACCUUUCCUGCUUUUUCUUCAUAGUACUUAUCACUUCCUGAUAUUAUGUUAGACAACAAGCAAAUAAGUAUAUGCUGUUCCCACUAAAAUAUAAGCUCCAUUUGAACAGGAGCCUUGAUUAUUCCUGAGUAUACCCCUAGUGCCCAGAACCUAGUAGGGCUUUAAUAAAUAUUAGAUUCAUUUGUUGAAUGAAAAAAUGAAUGAAUAAUUGAAUAAAGAUAUCCAGGUAGAGUGUCCGGGCAGCCCAACCUAUGUGAAGCCAGUACAAGAAUGUUUCUGUGACAUAGUGAGCGCAAUUAUUCCUCUAAAUGAUGAACUUGCAUGAGUACACAAGGAUAAAAUUAAGCACGUAGUUUAGAUUUCUGCAAGUCUCUUCCUCAGAUUGAGGAAAAACAAAGAAAUUGAGCUUAUUCUCACCUCAUUCUUACAUGAACUAAAUCCAGAAUAAAGCAUCAUUUAAAUACCAAGCACAUCCCUACCUCAGCCACUCAUGGAAUACUUUAUCUGUAAAGGGACAGAUAGAUAGUAAAUAUUUUUGGCUUUGGGGACCGUACAGUCUGUGUCGCCACUACUCAGCACUUCUGUUGAGGUGUGGAAUCAGCCCUAGACAACACAUAAACAAAUGGGUGUGGCUGUGUUCCAAUAAAAUGUUAUUUAUAAAACUAGGAAAUCAGCAGAUUUAGUCCACAGGCUGUAGUUUGCUGACCCUUGAAUUAGAGAGUCUUCCCCAAAUCCUCUUCCCAAGUUAUUGAAAGAAUGCCCAUAGGACCAUAGCUCCCUCACCUGGUUCUUUCAAGAAAUGAGACAAAUUCAGGGAUGGUUGGAGGGUGGAACGCCUACCUGUGACAUGACUAUUGAGCCUGAUUUCUUUCCUUUUAUCUCUUUAAAGUGAGUCAGGUCUUAACUUUAAACUGUCUCUAAAGUGGCAAUAACUGGGCCAUGUCAAAUACUCCCAAUGACAAAAUUUCUUCUUGGAGAAUGAAUGAGGGUUGCAUACAGUGGUGUGUUGGUAAAUGUUUAGCAACUGGCUCUCUUACUGAUUUCUGUAGUGUAAAUUCUCCCAUCCUGGCCAUCUGAAACUACCAAUAUGAUGUCACUUGAUGUAGAGUUGGGAAAAGACAGUCUCUUGAAUAAGUAUGAGCUGGUUCCAGCCCACUGCUGAACACAUAUUUAAAAGCUACAAUAGCUCUGCUCACUGCCAUUGCAGAGUCUGGAGGAAAGAGUAGCAGGCUUGAUAGGAGCAAUUGGCUGAAUAAUCUUUUGCAAUGCCAAUAAAUAAUGAAAAAGUAUAUAAAUAUAACGCUGUAUAGAAAGCUCUCAAGUUCAGUGUUUGGUUAAAAUACAUACUCAGUAAAUGGUAGCUAUUAUUGUCUUAGUUUAAGUUAUUGCAAGCAUUAAAAUUAAAUGUUUAGCUACAGACUCAAUCCAGUUUUAAUGUCAUUGUGUUAAUAAGGCCUCUUAACAUUGAAGCAACAAAGAUAAAGGAAUUUUUUUGUAGCUAUUCACGAUUCUGCCCAGCUCAAGGUAAAGAUAGCAACAAAAUACUCCAACCAGAAUAAAAGAAGUCUCCACUUGACUGCAGCUCUUCGCAACACUUCACAAGGGUCAAGCUGUGUUAGUUUCCUUCAGUGUUAAACAGAAUGCAUCUUAAGAGAAUAGUUCAAUUAUUGAUUGAAUAGUAGGUUCAAGUUGACUAUAAUCCCAACUAAUACACUCUAAGACCAGGGAUGGGCCGACAGAAGGGUAAAGUUUUCCACUCAAGUCUCGAGGCAAACACUCAGAUAGAAGUAGUAAUAUGGAUGCCUUCUAUUAUUUGGUCACAUACAAUACUGUUCCAGCCCAGUUGUGCAAAACUGGUGAAAUAAAAGGCAAAAAUAUUGACAACAGUUUGGGUAACUGGAUUCCAAAAUGGGCAUCCAUCUAAGAGAAAUUAAUGAAAAAAAAGCAUAUGGACCUUGAAAUACAUUAAUACACAGUUUAGGUUUAAACACUCAGUUUUUAUUAGAAAAGACUAACUUAUCCUGUUUUGAACACUACAAAAGUGCUUUCUGAACCAUUUACUCUCAAACCUCCUCCACCCAUUCCCCUCCAUCUAUAACGCUUUCUGCACAUCUGUAAAAGGUAUGACUUAGUGUUUGGUCUGUGAAAUAAGGUUAAAAAGGAAGCAUUUCUUUUUACAUUCUAGCUAAUGUUGAUAUUUUUCUCAUGCUUCUAUUAGCACAUAAUUCAGAUACAUUAGUUUUGAAGUUUUGAAUCUUCUCUGCUUCUUGAGGGCUCUCUGUUCUAGAUCAACAUGAUCUGUGGAACACCAGCCAAGUCCUGGGCAGAACCCUCCCCGUUGUCCAAAUAUUACUGAAUCAGUUGAGUUUUCUCUGUUGUCAAUGAAUUAUUCCACAUGUUUCUUUGGCUACAUUUUUUUUGGCUUUCUGUUCACAGUAAAUAUAGCCUUUGUUUUUAAAAACUUCUAUUAUGAAAAUUCCAAAUAUAUGCAAAUUAGAGAGAAUAGCAUAAUGAACCUCUAUGUGCUUAUCACACAUAUAGGUUCAACUAAUUAAAUUAUAUCAAUUUAUGGCCAAUCUGGUUUCAUUUAUAACAUCAUUCGCUCAUUCCUAACUCCCUGGAUUAUUUGAUUGACAUGUUUCUAAAGUUCCUUUUAAUCUGUAGGUUCCCCCUCUCAUUUAAUCUUUUGCAACUUAUUCAUUGAUGAAACUGGGUUAUUUGUCCUUUAUUGUUUCUCUCAUUCUGAAAUAUGCUGUAAUGUCAUUAACCAUAUUCUUCUUUCCUGUAUUUUCUGUAAGCUUUGAGCUAGGCAGAAAUAUUUUAAUCAGAUUCCUUUUUUUUUCUUUUAGCAAGAUUUCUUCAUAAAUAAUAU